Molecule: ribosomal RNA, 187 nt
Filed under: uncultured rumen bacterium
Lineage: Bacteria
Description: partial 16S ribosomal RNA
Rfam family: Bacterial small subunit ribosomal RNA
Source: RNAcentral
UACGGGAGGCAGCAGUGAGGAAUAUUGGUCAAUGGACGAGAGUCUGAACCAGCCAAGUCGCGUGAAGGAAGACGGUUCUAUGGAUUGUAAACUUCUUUUGUCCGAGGGUAAAGUUAGGUACGUGUACCUAUUGGAAAGUAUCGGACGAAUAAGCAUCGGCUAACUCCGUGCCAGCAGCCGCGGUAAU